This is a long non-coding RNA of Cephus cinctus (wheat stem sawfly), 653 nucleotides long. RefSeq lists it as uncharacterized. The transcript is spliced from 2 exons. NCBI's taxonomy places the organism in Eukaryota, Metazoa, Arthropoda, Insecta, Hymenoptera, Cephidae. The record is from RefSeq and is a predicted model, not a curated record.
GAGAAACGGUCGACGAUGCUCAAGAUGGCGGCACCUCUCCUCUCGAGGACGUGGACUAACGGGAAGGGGUUUAUGUCAGACUUUUGGAAGAGAUGACGAAUCACGCGUGAAUUCUAAGAUACUUCCUCAACACUACUGGACCGACGAGUUACGAGGUUUGCGUCACAUAUGGUAGCGCCACCACGUCGCAGCGUACGGAAGUAAACGAUAACUUCAAAUCGUUAAAGUGAAAUUCGAUUGUGAGACGGUAAACGAGAAAAAUAACUGUCGGUUGUGUUGUGAGAAAAAUGCUAAGUCUGAGAAUGAAGAGUUUAUUAUUUCCUUCAGAAGUCUGCACAUCCGUUGCAAUUCGCAUGCCCAUAAAAUACUGUAUGCGUUAUACCAUUGGUAUAUAUUUUCUUUUAUGCAGAUGUACACAUAUUUAUAUAUAUAAAUAAUUUAGAUACUUAUAUAUACAUACAUAUAGUAUGUGUAUAUAUAUUAUGUAUAUAAUAACAGCGCGAUCAAAACCGUGAUAGAUUGUUUGACGAAUGGGGUGUGAUAUAAAUUACAAACUGCGUUCAUGAGGUGGCUAUAAUAAAAAGCGCCACGAGUUGUAUGCACUGUAAUAAAUAAACCGCGCGCCUAUGUACUAUAUGUACAUAUAACUACGA